RNAcentral lists this unclassified non-coding RNA (407 nucleotides) under soil metagenome. Its description in RNAcentral is "partial contains 5.8S ribosomal RNA, internal transcribed spacer 2, and large subunit ribosomal RNA". The stretch from base 1 to 122 matches the Rfam family "5.8S ribosomal RNA", at positions 35 to 154 of the family's 154-position model. The record is from RNAcentral.
GAUGAAGAACGUAGCGAAUUGCGAUAAGUAAUGUGAAUUGCAGAUUUUCAGUGAAUCAUCGAAUCUUUGAACGCACCUUGCGCCCUUUGGCCAUUCCGAAGGGCAUGCCUGUUUGAGUAUCAUGAACACCUCAACUCUUCAUGGUUUUCCGUGAUGAGCUUGGACUUUGGGGGUCUUGCUGGCCUAUGGUCAGCUCCUCUAAAAUAAAUCAGCUUGCCAGUGUUUGGUGGGUAUCACAGGUGUGAUAACUAUCUACGCUUGUGGUUUUCCACCAGGUAACCUUCAGCAGUGGAGGUUCGCUGGAGCUCACAGAUGUGUCUCUCCUCAGUGAGGACAGCUCUUUGAAUGUUUGAUCUCAAAUCAGGUAGGACUACCCGCUGAACUUAAGCAUAUCAAUAAGCGGAGGA